AUUAAUUUCAUUUGAUUUAUGUUCAUGAUAUUCCGUGCCUCAAUCAAUCAUACUUUCAAUUUAAAUCAUGCAUGUAUUUCAUUCAUGAAAAUGUGAUUGACUGCAUUAGAAUUAGUUGAUCAAUCCUAACCAGAUGAUGAUUAAUGGACGUAAUAAUUCAAAGGUGCAUGCUUAAUUUAGAUCCUAGCUUGAUUAAAUUAAAUGUUCGUAAUAACUCGAGAGAUCUCUAUUACCUUGCAUAACUUUUAGAUUUGUGUGAUUAAAUUGUUUCAAACCUAAUCCAUCC
This 286-nucleotide long non-coding RNA is filed under the name Gossypium barbadense (sea-island cotton). Its description in RNAcentral is "long non-coding RNA (GBAR_LNC016973)". The record is from RNAcentral. Lineage: Eukaryota; Viridiplantae; Streptophyta; Magnoliopsida; Malvales; Malvaceae.